Molecule: long non-coding RNA, 292 nt
Organism: Monopterus albus (swamp eel)
Lineage: Eukaryota; Metazoa; Chordata; Actinopteri; Synbranchiformes; Synbranchidae
Exons: 3
Source: RefSeq, a predicted model, not a curated record
UUAAAGAUGCUGUUCAAGGUCAGCUGCAUCUGGAUUAUCUGUAUGUGAAUCUCCCAGUGCUUUGACCCAAGAUGAUGUCUACACAAGCCUUCAGCAGCCAUUGUGGCAGAUCAAAACUGUGCUGUAUGAAGAUGACACAGUGGUGUCCUCAAGCACGAGGUGAGGUACAUGCAGUAAACUGUAAUGAUCUGCUGAGGCCACGCUGUGCUCUAUUUACAGCACAAGCUCAGGUCACCGUGUGAGGACCAUGCACUUGCACACUGUUUUACCUUUAGCAUGUCUUAAUGUGAAA